GACACUGUGCGUGACGUCACGGGACGCUCCACGUGUCGCUUGUUUACAGCGAGUCUGAGGAGCAGAGAUUGUGAAAGUGUUCCUGGAUUGAGUUUCACUGCUGCUCUUCAUAUUUAGAUCUUCAUCAGAGUCGGUGAGAAUCACCAGCACACGAUAUUAGAGAGAAGAAUGUUCCAGAUGGUUCAGUUCUUAGUUCCCUCGGGGCCCAAGAGACCCGGUAACAUCAGCCUAUCUCCCCAGAGCCGACAGAACCGGACUCGGACCGCUUCCAAUGAGUUUCUGCAACACGUCCGGAGAGUCAGCGGCCUGAAACAGCAGGACGUGUUUUAUAAGCUGCGUGUCCCAAACCAGAGUCAGAGCGACAGAGACGAGAUCCACCUGCUGCUGCUCACAGGUCACGGAGUGUUCUGCAUCGAUCUGAAGACGUGGAGCGGCUCUGUUUCGGUCGCGAGUGAGGCUCAGGUCAGAGCGGAGCAGCAGAACUUCACCAGCGUCUCCAUCGAGCAGCUGCCCGACGCUCUUCAGGCCAUUACAGAGAAAACCAGCAACCUGCACAGCCAUAUGAAGCGCUGCGGGCUGAACCUCCGGCCCAGUCUCUUCAUUCCCAGAGUGCUGUUCCUGUCUGCGGACUGUGUGCGGAGCGCGGAUCUGCUGCAGACGGAGCAGCUGCUGUCCUGCGCAGACGUGGAGCCGUUCCUGUGCUCGCUGCGCGAGGGAUACAUGUCCUGGCUCUCCGAUGCCUUCACGCCGUCCUGGAUCUCCGGUCACCUGUCGUAUGGGCAGAUGCGGGCGGUGCGGGAGCGGCUGGAGCUCUUGGGCACCUGGGAUGUGCUGCAGAUGAGCAGCGGUCAGGAGAUCGCCGGAGACUUCCAGGGCUGCCAGCAUCUCGCCCUCAACCGACAGGAAACAGAGCUGCUGGAGUUCAGCAGAACAGGAAGUGUGAUCACAGACGCGCUGUGGAGCCUGCUGGGACACACGCCGCAGUUUAAAGAUAAGAGCAAGGGACGCGGCUCUGAGAUCCACAAUAACCACAGAAACACACUCACCAGACUGAGAUCUCUACAUCUCACAUGCGUGUGUGUGAUUGAACAAACGCCUCAGAUCAUGUGUGUGUUGAGGAGAGCGAGAUGCUGCUUUACUACCAUUUUCACCAGAAAACAGCGGAAAAAACCCACAGACACAAUGAAAGAUGAAUCUGAGAAACAGCUGCGGUUCAGAAGAUCACUGAGAAGCCACCCAGAACACCCGAGAGAACACACUCGAGCAGUUGACUGAAUGAAGAGAAGUCACCGUCUCCAUGUAUAAGCGAGGAGCGCAGGGGUGGCUGGGUAAACCGCUGAUCGCCACGGCAACCAUCCCCUCCAGCACACGCGUGAUCUUCCGCAUCCGAGGAGAACCGACAGACGGCAAGAUCCCGGUGGGCAGCGUCCGCUCCAUCACGCUGAGCAUCUGAAGCCCUGCAGCUUUAUUCUCUCCGCAGUGAUUCAUUCCAUGCGCUCGAUAGCACAAUCAUCACUACUGACACCACUCAUGUCUUUAUCACACCAAUCAACAAGAGUUUCAAACGUGCUUUAUAUCUUUUUAAUAUUUGAUGAUUGCUGAGAAAUGUUUUACUUUUCUAAUCAGACAUCAGCCUGUAUUCUGAACAGUGUGAGUCCAGCGUUCAUGUUUUCGUACUCUUCACAGUCUAGUAAAUCUUCAUGGUAAUUUUAAAAAUGUUACUAAUUUCUUUAAAGUGACUUUAAAACUCUGAACAUAGAAAAGAUCCCGGUUGGUUUUGUCAAACUGACGAACAUUUCUUGGCCAUUAUUCAAAUGAUGAAGAUAUUUUGAUCUGUUAAAGCCUCAAUAUUUUGUCAGUUAAUUUGAAAUGAUUGAUAUUUCAUGCAAUAAAAUAC
This 1897-nucleotide long non-coding RNA is filed under the name Sinocyclocheilus anshuiensis. RNAcentral's name for it is "lncRNA (ENSSANG00000010016.1)". The record is from RNAcentral. Lineage: Eukaryota; Metazoa; Chordata; Actinopteri; Cypriniformes; Cyprinidae.